This is a non-coding RNA of Hydra vulgaris (swiftwater hydra), 2784 nucleotides long. Lineage: Eukaryota; Metazoa; Cnidaria; Hydrozoa; Anthoathecata; Hydridae. The record is from RefSeq and is a predicted model, not a curated record.
AACAGUUUUAACUUUUUUUUCUUAAAGAAAUAUAAGAAAAUAAAUAUAUACAGUCUUCCCCAACCAAAAUUUAAAGCAUGUAAAUUUUGAUGAGAGUAUGUAUAUUUAUCAGCUAUUGUAUUUAGAAAAAGAGGAGAAUGAAAUAGGUAUAUUUUAGGAUAUAAAAUCUGUUUUAUGCUUGUAAGAAAAAGUUUGUUUUUACACAGUGUAUUAAAAUCGUUGAUAUGUAUUUAGCAAAAAAAGAAUUGGAACUUAGAAAAGCGGCAAUAAAGCAGCAGAUUGCUCGCAAAAGAGAGGAGCUUGCUAAAAGAAAGGAAAUUCUUGGGACAGCCAAUUUGACUGUAGCUGUUGAAAAACACAUUUUACUAACGUACUCAGAUGUUUGUGCUAAAAUAAAAGAGCAUGAGUUAUCGCACACAGUGCAUUAUGUUGUAUCUCACACUGGAAACAUGGAAUAAAAAUUUGAAGAACUCUUGAAGAAGAAUCACAGAGUGUUUUUUGAGGAUAAUGAUUUCCCCCACAUUGGGGUUCCAUUCAUUUUUUCAGCGCAUACUUGUCUUGACUGUCAACAAGGAAUAGACAGGAAUAUUAAAGCAAAAGAAAAGUACAGAAAAAAGAAAAACGAUGCAGCAGCUAAAGAUCAUUAUUACCAAAAUAACAAAGUUAUUCUCCAGGAUACCAAAAAAUUUGAUUGUCCAGCCGUGAUUCAUAUAAAAGAAAUAGUUGAAUUUCCAGAGUUUAAGCUCACUAGAGAUACAACAUGGUCAAGAAAUGAAAUGUCGAAAAAGCUUCGAAUAGCUAUUUCUACCCAAGGAAAUUUUAUUAUGUGUAGAAAGUACAUUUUAGUAUUGCCAGGUGUUUCUGCUCAUAAAAACUAUGUGAUAGGAGAGACAGCGAGUCUUAGUUAACCCUUUUCUGAUACUCUCAUUAUUAAAAUUGGAGAGUUAGUAAAAAAGGGUGUCAACACUGUUCCAGAAAUGAGAAGACAUCUUGAUUAUUUUGUUGAAGCUGAAUUUGGUUUAAGUAAGAUUCCUCAUAAAGAAAGCGUUACUUUAGGUAUACUGACUAGGUAUGCUCUUCCUCUAUUUUUUCUAGUUGUUAAAACAAACACGGAUUACCAAGUUGUAGCAAUUUUUGUGUGUGAAAACAAAACAACUGAAGCUAUCACUGAAAUAUUGACGUGCAUUAAACAGUGCAAUCCUUUAUUUCAGCCUAAAUUUGUUUUAACUGAUUAUUCAAACGAAGAAAUAAACUCAAUUGAAUAUGUGUUUUCAGGUAAGACUUUGUGAAUAGGUAUUUCAAGAUUUUCUAAAAUUUUAAGCAGCAUAAUUUCAUGUAUAAGUUCACUUUAUUAGGAUGUAGUGUCCUAAUUUGCGAUUUUUACCGAGAGCAAGCUUGGGAAAGAUGGCUUUCUAAAACCAAUAAUGGCUGUUGCACUGUGAAAGAUGCAGUUAAGUUACAACUUCGCCAAAUUGCCAAUGCAAAAACAGAAGAGAUUUGCAAAGAUGCUGUGAAUGCUUUCAAAGAGACAGAAGAGCGGAAAAAUCACCCAAAACUAAGAGAAUAUUUAAAUAAUACUUGAUUAUGCAACCAAAAGAGAUAGGUGUCCAUUCCGGCAACAUUGCCUUUUGCGAAAUGUCAACACAAACAAUGGCACUGAAAGGCAAAAUCAAUCAUUUAAAUAUAGUUUCUUGGAAAGAAGAAAAAGCUCAUCUCUCACAGCUAUGUUAAGUAUUUGCAUUGAUGAACUCCUACCUCACAAUUAUGACAACUAUGUGGAUGAAAAUAGAAGAGCACACUCAUCUUAUAGAAAAUAUAGUAAUAACAUUCCUGUGUAUUUAGUAAAUCACCCAGGACCUUUAGUAAAACACUGCAUGAAAAUGAUUGAUAAACUACAAGGCAUAUCAUUGAAUGGAAUUAAUGCUGUCACCAACAGGUUGUUUUGAUCCCUCUUACGGCAAUUCUCCAUAUUUCAUAUUAGAUCCAUUGUUUGGAUGAAAAUAAUUAUUCAACUUCAUCUCAUGUUCAAGAGUCAGCUGAACUAAAAAGUUUAAAAAAUACUCCUGCCAGUGUGAUGUUGUUGCCUAGCAACAUUGCAUCUGUACCAUAUGAACAUAGUCAUUCAACUGCAUGUAGUCAUUGUAUGAAUGUAAUAGUAUGGUCUUGAUUGGCGCUCAUCUUCUAAAAACGAAUCAAAGAUCGAUUGGUUUGAAUGUUUCGAAUGCAUAAAGUAAAAGAUUAAUAAAUAUUUGUUAUUGUUUACCUGAUGACGAAGCAUCUUUUCGUUUGUAUGAUUCUAAAUAAAAGUUACACUAAUAUAUUUCAAACAUCAGUUACAAACACAUUGAAGUAAUAAGAAAAGCAACCAAAUAUAAAUUUUAUACUAGACAAUUUCCUGGUUGACUCUUGUCUUGGUCUUGAUUAGCGCUCAUCUUCUAAAAACGAAUCAAAGAUCGAUUGGUUUAAAUGUUUCAAAUGCAUACAGUAAAAAAUUAGUAAAUAUUUUUUAUUGUUUACCUGACGACGAAUCAUGUUCGUUUGUUUGAUUCUAAAUAAGUUACACUAAUAUAUUUUGAACAUCAGUUAUAAACAUAUUGAAAUAAUAAGAAAAGCAACCAAACGUAAAUGUUAUACUAGACAAUUUCCUGGUCGACUCUGGUCUUGAUUGGCAUUUAUCUUCUAAAAACAAAUGAAAGAUUGAUUGGUUUGAAUGUUUUAAAUGCAUAAAGUGUAAUGUGCCAUAAGUAAUACAAAAGAUUCCUAGAUAUAUAUGUUUUACUUGAC